Molecule: transfer RNA, 73 nt
Filed under: Microbacterium sp. RU33B
Lineage: Bacteria; Bacillati; Actinomycetota; Actinomycetes; Micrococcales; Microbacteriaceae
Rfam family: tRNA
About the family: Transfer RNA (tRNA) molecules are approximately 80 nucleotides in length. Their secondary structure includes four short double-helical elements and three loops (D, anti-codon, and T loops).
Source: Rfam by way of RNAcentral
CCCUCCGUAGCUCAGGGGACAGAGCAAGCGGUUUCUACCCGCUUGGUCGGGGGUUCGAAUCCUCCCGGGGGGG